RNAcentral lists this ribosomal RNA (2751 nucleotides) under Klebsiella pneumoniae. Its description in RNAcentral is "partial 23S ribosomal RNA". It matches the Rfam family "Bacterial large subunit ribosomal RNA". Lineage: Bacteria; Pseudomonadati; Pseudomonadota; Gammaproteobacteria; Enterobacterales; Enterobacteriaceae. The record is from RNAcentral.
GUUGUGAGGUUAAGCGACUAAGCGUACACGGUGGAUGCCCUGGCAGUCAGAGGCGAUGAAGGACGUGCUAAUCUGCGAAAAGCGUCGGUAAGGUGAUAUGAACCGUUAUAACCGGCGAUGUCCGAAUGGGGAAACCCAGUGCAAUUCGUUGCACUAUCGUUAACUGAAUACAUAGGUUAACGAGGCGAACCGGGGGAACUGAAACAUCUAAGUACCCCGAGGAAAAGAAAUCAACCGAGAUUCCCCCAGUAGCGGCGAGCGAACGGGGAGCAGCCCAGAGUCUGAAUCAGCUUGUGUGUUAGUGGAACGGUCUGGAAAGUCCGACGGUACAGGGUGAUAGUCCCGUACACCAAAAUGCACAGGUUGUGAACUCGAAGAGUAGGGCGGGACACGUGGUAUCCUGUCUGAAUAUGGGGGGACCAUCCUCCAAGGCUAAAUACUCCUGACUGACCGAUAGUGAACCAGUACCGUGAGGGAAAGGCGAAAAGAACCCCGGCGAGGGGAGUGAAAAAGAACCUGAAACCGUGUACGUACAAGCAGUGGGAGCACCUUCGGGUGUGACUGCGUACCUUUUGUAUAAUGGGUCAGCGACUUAUAUUCUGUAGCAAGGUUAACCGUAUAGGGGAGCCGCAGGGAAACCGAGUCUUAACUGGGCGUUAAGUUGCAGGGUAUAGACCCGAAACCCGGUGAUCUAGCCAUGGGCAGGUUGAAGGUUGGGUAACACUAACUGGAGGACCGAACCGACUAAUGUUGAAAAAUUAGCGGAUGACUUGUGGCUGGGGGUGAAAGGCCAAUCAAACCGGGAGAUAGCUGGUUCUCCCCGAAAGCUAUUUAGGUAGCGCCUCGUGAACUCAUCUUCGGGGGUAGAGCACUGUUUCGGCUAGGGGGUCAUCCCGACUUACCAACCCGAUGCAAACUACGAAUACCGAAGAAUGUUAUCACGGGAGACACACGGCGGGUGCUAACGUCCGUCGUGAAGAGGGAAACAACCCAGACCGCCAGCUAAGGUCCCAAAGUCAUGGUUAAGUGGGAAACGAUGUGGGAAGGCACAGACAGCCAGGAUGUUGGCUUAGAAGCAGCCAUCAUUUAAAGAAAGCGUAAUAGCUCACUGGUCGAGUCGGCCUGCGCGGAAGAUGUAACGGGGCUAAACCAUGCACCGAAGCUGCGGCAGCGACACUAUGUGUUGUUGGGUAGGGGAGCGUUCUGUAAGCCUGCGAAGGUGUGCUGUGAGGCAUGCUGGAGGUAUCAGAAGUGCGAAUGCUGACAUAAGUAACGAUAAAGCGGGUGAAAAGCCCGCUCGCCGGAAGACCAAGGGUUCCUGUCCAACGUUAAUCGGGGCAGGGUGAGUCGACCCCUAAGGCGAGGCCGAAAGGCGUAGUCGAUGGGAAACAGGUUAAUAUUCCUGUACUUGGUGUUACUGCGAAGGGGGGACGGAGAAGGCUAUGUUAGCCGGGCGACGGUUGUCCCGGUUUAAGCAUGUAGGCUGGUUAUCCAGGCAAAUCCGGAUAAUCAAGGCUGAGGUGUGAUGACGAGGCACUACGGUGCUGAAGUAACAAAUGCCCUGCUUCCAGGAAAAGCCUCUAAGCAUCAGGUAACAUCAAAUCGUACCCCAAACCGACACAGGUGGUCAGGUAGAGAAUACCAAGGCGCUUGAGAGAACUCGGGUGAAGGAACUAGGCAAAAUGGUGCCGUAACUUCGGGAGAAGGCACGCUGGUGUGUAGGUGAAGUCCCUGCGGAUGGAGCUGAGACCAGUCGAAGAUACCAGCUGGCUGCAACUGUUUAUUAAAAACACAGCACUGUGCAAACACGAAAGUGGACGUAUACGGUGUGACGCCUGCCCGGUGCCGGAAGGUUAAUUGAUGGGGUUAUCCGUAAGGAGAAGCUCUUGAUCGAAGCCCCGGUAAACGGCGGCCGUAACUAUAACGGUCCUAAGGUAGCGAAAUUCCUUGUCGGGUAAGUUCCGACCUGCACGAAUGGCGUAAUGAUGGCCAGGCUGUCUCCACCCGAGACUCAGUGAAAUUGAACUCGCUGUGAAGAUGCAGUGUACCCGCGGCAAGACGGAAAGACCCCGUGAACCUUUACUAUAGCUUGACACUGAACAUUGAGCCUUGAUGUGUAGGAUAGGUGGGAGGCUUUGAAGCGUGGACGCCAGUCUGCGUGGAGCCAACCUUGAAAUACCACCCUUUAAUGUUUGAUGUUCUAACGUUGGCCCCUGACCGGGGUUGCGGACAGUGUCUGGUGGGUAGUUUGACUGGGGCGGUCUCCUCCCAAAGCGUAACGGAGGAGCACGAAGGUUAGCUAAUCCUGGUCGGACAUCAGGAGGUUAGUGCAAUGGCAUAAGCUAGCUUGACUGCGAGCGUGACGGCGCGAGCAGGUGCGAAAGCAGGUCAUAGUGAUCCGGUGGUUCUGAAUGGAAGGGCCAUCGCUCAACGGAUAAAAGGUACUCCGGGGAUAACAGGCUGAUACCGCCCAAGAGUUCAUAUCGACGGCGGUGUUUGGCACCUCGAUGUCGGCUCAUCACAUCCUGGGGCUGAAGUAGGUCCCAAGGGUAUGGCUGUUCGCCAUUUAAAGUGGUACGCGAGCUGGGUUUAGAACGUCGUGAGACAGUUCGGUCCCUAUCUGCCGUGGGCGCUGGAGAAUUGAGGGGGGCUGCUCCUAGUACGAGAGGACCGGAGUGGACGCAUCACUGGUGUUCGGGUUGUCAUGCCAAUGGCACUGCCCGGUAGCUAAAUGCGGAAGAGAUAAGUGCU